RNAcentral lists this non-coding RNA (153 nucleotides) under Thalassiothrix antarctica. Lineage: Eukaryota; Bacillariophyta; Fragilariophyceae; Thalassionematales; Thalassionemataceae. The record is from RNAcentral.
CUUAAUCAAAAGUAACAAUAAAACAAAAACAAGAAAGAAAAGAAAAAGAAUGAUGGAAGUUAGAGUUAUAUGGAGCCUUAUUAAGGCUUUCUUUUCGACGGUCCUAUUAAUCUUCUCCAUUACUGUUAUAAUGGCACUUAUUUUUAAUCGGGA